Diceros bicornis minor is the source of this 653-nucleotide long non-coding RNA. RefSeq lists it as uncharacterized. The record is from RefSeq and is a predicted model, not a curated record. Lineage: Eukaryota; Metazoa; Chordata; Mammalia; Perissodactyla; Rhinocerotidae. The transcript is spliced from 3 exons.
CCCCGCACCCGCCCCGGCCCUUCCUCUUUCCCCGGGACGCCGCUGGUCCCGCGUCUUCGUGCUCUUUCUCCCCAAAAUGCCGGCUGUCCCCCUGCCCGGUCCCUCCUGUCACCCCGCCGCCCCCCUGUGUGCUCGGUGGGGCUCUCCUUGAAAAGUGCUUGCGUUUUUAAAACCUCGUUUCUCUUAGUUCCUCCCGCACUGUUCCACGGAGCCUCCGAAGCCCUUUAUUCCUCCAGCGCUUUCCAGCAGCCGCAGCGGCGCGGAGCGUGCCUUUUCAGCCAUGGGGACCCUGGACUAGACAGUCUCUUUGAACCACUCUUUCCUCAAGUAUUAAAACGACGGGAAACGGGACGUUUUAGACAACUGCUAGAAUGUGUGGGAUUACCUGGGGCUGAGGAGUCAAGUCUGUUCGCUCCCUCACUGUUUUUUGCCUCCCAAGAUCUCUCUGCCCAAGCUGCAGCAGACACUUGGAACUCUCCAUCCUAGAGAGAGAAGCACCAGAAUUGCCCCUGCCCAGCUGUGUGCUUAAGGAAACUUAGUUAUCACGUGACUGUCUUCCAAUGAGCAGGACUCCCUGCUAUCCUAAUAAACACCAGCAUGAAACCAAGUGGAAAUGUGCUUUAUUGUUGCUGUCAUCUCCAUCACCCCGACCA